GUAGGUGGCAAGCGUUGUCCGGAAUUAUUGGGCGUAAAGCGCGCGCAGGUGGUUCUUUAAGUCUGAUGUGAAAGCCCCCGGCUCAACCGGGGAGGGUCAUUGGAAACUGGGGAACUUGAGUGCAGGAGAGGAAAGUGGAAUUCCACGUGUAGCGGUGAAAUGCGUAGAUAUGUGGAGGAACACCAGUGGCGAAGGCGACUUUCUGGCCUGUAACUGACGCUGAGGCGCGAAAGCGUGGGGAGCAAACAGGGAUUAGAUACCCUGGUAGUCCACGCCGUAAACGAUGAGUGCUAAGUGUUGGGGGGGUUUCCCGCCCCUCAGUGCUGCAGCUAACGCAUUAAGCACUACGCCUGGGGAGUACGUCGCAAGACUG
This 373-nucleotide ribosomal RNA is filed under the name uncultured organism. RNAcentral's name for it is "partial 16S ribosomal RNA". It matches the Rfam family "Bacterial small subunit ribosomal RNA", at positions 527 to 896 of the family's 1533-position model. The record is from RNAcentral.